Long non-coding RNA from Sebastes umbrosus (honeycomb rockfish), 159 nucleotides. RefSeq lists it as uncharacterized. The transcript is spliced from 3 exons. NCBI's taxonomy places the organism in Eukaryota, Metazoa, Chordata, Actinopteri, Perciformes, Sebastidae. The record is from RefSeq and is a predicted model, not a curated record.
CUCAGUAUCAUUAAGGUUGGGGGACACUGCGUUUCCCAUCAUGCUCCCUGGGGUCAUGUAAGGGUCAGAGUCAGGGUCGACACGGUCGAUUCCCUUCCAGGGCACGCCAGGCUGGAACUCUAGAGAAGAAACACACAUCUGAAGCUCCAGUCCCCCGUC